CCUACGGGAGGCAGCAGUGAGGAAUAUUGGUCAAUGGUCGGGAGACUGAACCAGCCAAGCCGCGUGAGGGAGGAAGGUACAGAGUAUCGUAAACCUCUUUUGUCAGGGAACAAAGGCGGGGACGUGUCCCCGGCUGAGUGUACCUGAAGAAAAAGCAUCGGCUAACUCCGUGCCAGCAGCCGCGGUAAUACGGAGGAUGCGAGCGUUAUCCGGAUUUAUUGGGUUUAAAGGGUGCGCAGGCGGUCUGUUAAGUCAGCGGUCAAAGCCCGGGGCUCAACCCCGGCCCGCCGUUGAAACUGGCAGUCUCGAGUGGGAGAGAAGUAGGCGGAAUGCGCGGUGUAGCGGUGAAAUGCAUAGAUAUCGCGCAGAACUCCGAUUGCGAAGGCAGCAUGCCGGCUCCACACUGACGCUGAGGCACGAAAGCGUGGGUAUCGAACAGGAUUAGAUACCCUGGUAGUC
This 459-nucleotide ribosomal RNA is filed under the name uncultured bacterium. RNAcentral describes it as "partial 16S ribosomal RNA". It matches the Rfam family "Bacterial small subunit ribosomal RNA", at positions 338 to 795 of the family's 1533-position model. The record is from RNAcentral.